UGGGUGUUAAAAAGCCUUAUGAGUAAUGAACAGAACUCAGAGAGCAAUAAGAGAGAGAGGGGAAAGGAAGGAGAGACCACUUGUCUAUGCUCUCCUUACAACGUAUUGAAGUGUAAAGUAUUUAUGUCUUGCGCAACGCUCUCCCUCAUAACAUCGGUAUGUUUUGUAUAGCUUGUUUCAAAUCAGAACGGUCAGAACGUGUUCGCAUUCUAAAAGAGUUGGAGAGGAAAGCAAAUGCAGACUCAACGUGGAGAAGAAACACUAGUUGGUGUGGCUUUUGGCUGGAGCGAUGUGGAUGGGUAUUCAGGCUACAAAAGGUGUGCUGGAGUCAGAGCAGAUCCAUACCAGCUGCAACUCAUCCAUAAAUCAAGACUUCUACAUAUACCCAUUCCUGCCAACUUCCACUCUGCCAGAUCGUAAUCUCUGCUCA
This 430-nucleotide long non-coding RNA is filed under the name Salmo salar (Atlantic salmon). Its description in RNAcentral is "lncRNA (ENSSSAG00000106474.1)". Lineage: Eukaryota; Metazoa; Chordata; Actinopteri; Salmoniformes; Salmonidae. The record is from RNAcentral.